This 1206-nucleotide ribosomal RNA is filed under the name Ralstonia solanacearum. RNAcentral describes it as "bacterial SSU rRNA". It matches the Rfam family "Bacterial small subunit ribosomal RNA", at positions 35 to 1257 of the family's 1533-position model. Lineage: Bacteria; Pseudomonadati; Pseudomonadota; Betaproteobacteria; Burkholderiales; Burkholderiaceae. The record is from RNAcentral.
GCAGUUGGUUACGCUAUAACAUGCAGUCGAACGGCAGCGGGGGUAGCUUGCUACCUGCCGGCGAGUGGCGAACGGGUGAGUAAUACAUCGGAACGUGCCCUAUAGUGGGGGAUAACUAGUCGAAAGACUAGCUAAUACCGCAUACGACCUGAGGGUGAAAGUGGGGGACCGCAAGGCCUCAUGCUAUAGGAGCGGCCGAUGUCUGAUUAGCUAGUUGGUGGGGUAAAGGCCCACCAAGGCGACGAUCAGUAGCUGGUCUGAGAGGACGAUCAGCCACACUGGGACUGAGACACGGCCCAGACUCCUACGGGAGGCAGCAGUGGGGAAUUUUGGACAAUGGGGGCAACCCUGAUCCAGCAAUGCCGCGUGUGUGAAGAAGGCCUUCGGGUUGUAAAGCACUUUUGUCCGGAAAGAAAUCGCACUGGUUAAUACCUGGUGUGGAUGACGGUACCGGAAGAAUAAGGACCGGCUAACUACGUGCCAGCAGCCGCGGUAAUACGUAGGGUCCAAGCGUUAAUCGGAAUUACUGGGCGUAAAGCGUGCGCAGGCGGUUGUGCAAGACCGAUGUGAAAUCCCCGGGCUUAACCUGGGAAUUGCAUUGGUGACUGCACGGCUAGAGUGUGUCAGAGGGAGGUAGAAUUCCACGUGUAGCAGUGAAAUGCGUAGAGAUGUGGAGGAAUACCGAUGGCGAAGGCAGCCUCCUGGGAUAACACUGACGCUCAUGCACGAAAGCGUGGGGAGCAAACAGGAUUAGAUACCCUGGUAGUCCACGCCCUAAACGAUGUCAACUAGUUGUUGGGGAUUCAUUUCCUUAGUAACGUAGCUAACGCGUGAAGUUGACCGCCUGGGGAGUACGGUCGCAGAUUAAAACUCAAAGGAAUGACGGGGACCCCGCACAAGCGGUGGAUGAUGUGAUUAAUUCGAUGCAACGCGAAAACCUUACCUACCUUGACAUGCCACUAACGAGCAGAGAAUGCAUUAAGGUGGCCUCGAAAGGAGAAGUGGACACCAGGUGCUGCAUUGCCUGCGUCCAGCUCAGUGUCGGAAAUUGUGGGUAGUCCCGCAACGAGCGCCACCUUUCUCUAAGUGCUACAGAAAGGGCACUCUAGAGAGACUCGCGGUGCAAUCGGAGAGAGAGGUGGAAUAAGCCUCAAGGUCCUAGCCUAGGAGGUCCAGACUACAGUGCUAACAGAGGUUGCCAAGCCG